AACGGUGAAGUAAUUAAUGUCCACAUGACCAAGAUCAUAUAAUAUAAAUGAUAGUAACUAAUUUUUAAAUUUAGUUUGCGGUAUGUAGUCCUCCAUAAAAGAAGACAAGAUGACUGAUGGGAAGUAUUGCCUUUUAGUAAUGUGCUUUUUUCUGAUAAUGGUAGAUAACAUCGAAAGUGUCCCAGCUACUGUAACUCAAGGUCCAAAAGAGAGAAAUUAUAGGCCAAUAAUUCUACCUCCCUGCAAGAAACCUUUAGAGCUGGCAGAAGAUGGGACAUGUAGAGAAGUAGAACGUUAAACAAAAAAAAACAUUA
Molecule: long non-coding RNA, 314 nt
Organism: Sitophilus oryzae (rice weevil)
Lineage: Eukaryota; Metazoa; Arthropoda; Insecta; Coleoptera; Curculionidae
Exons: 2
Source: RefSeq, a predicted model, not a curated record